RNAcentral lists this ribosomal RNA (254 nucleotides) under uncultured bacterium. RNAcentral's name for it is "partial 16S ribosomal RNA". It matches the Rfam family "Bacterial small subunit ribosomal RNA", at positions 524 to 777 of the family's 1533-position model. The record is from RNAcentral.
UACGUAGGGAGCAAGCGUUGUCCGGAAUCAUUGGGCGUAAAGCGCGCGUAGGUGGCCAUGUAAGUCCGCUGUGAAAGUCAAAGGCUCAACCUUUGAAAGCCGGUGGAUACUGCAUGGCUAGAGUACGGAAGAGGCGAGUGGAAUUCCUGGUGUAGCGGUGGAAUGCGCAGAUAUCAGGAGGAACACCAAUAGCGAAGGCAGCUCGCUGGGACGUUACUGACACUGAGGCGCGAAAGCGUGGGGAGCGAACAGGA